AGGGUUAGGGUAGACCCAGGGUCCGUUUAGAAGCGAUACAGAGAGAAAGAACCAUAGCCAGAAGUCUCGAAGGGUACAGGGCAAAGUCAGAAAUCCACCUAUGAAACUAAUCCACUUGCCUUAUAAUUAAUUUGAUCCUAACAUCUUUAUGGUCGAAAGGAAAGAUGCUAUUGGGUAUCCUCCAACUUCCAUAGACGAAACACACUUAGAUAAAGCUUCUCUUGAUCACACACAUCUUGGUUUAGACUUAUACUGGGCGAACCUAUCUCUACAACAACACAGUCAACCGUACUCUACCUGCUUGCUACAGGCAAUUCAACCGCGACACGAUAACCUCUCUCCCACUUAGUAAAACCAAUCACCGAGACUUAACUCGCAACCCGCAGGCGCUUAAGAAUCCAGUCC
RNAcentral lists this long non-coding RNA (405 nucleotides) under Musa acuminata (dwarf banana). RNAcentral describes it as "long non-coding RNA (MACU_LNC008140)". Lineage: Eukaryota; Viridiplantae; Streptophyta; Magnoliopsida; Zingiberales; Musaceae. The record is from RNAcentral.